Non-coding RNA from Castor canadensis (American beaver), 73 nucleotides. Lineage: Eukaryota; Metazoa; Chordata; Mammalia; Rodentia; Castoridae. The record is from the annotation of a RefSeq genome assembly.
GGCAGAGUGGCUCAAGUGGUAGAGCGCCUGCCUAGUAAGCAUGAGGUCCUGAAUUCAAAUCCCAGUCCUGCCA